RNAcentral lists this ribosomal RNA (839 nucleotides) under Enterococcus durans. RNAcentral describes it as "bacterial SSU rRNA". It matches the Rfam family "Bacterial small subunit ribosomal RNA", at positions 70 to 878 of the family's 1533-position model. The record is from RNAcentral. Lineage: Bacteria; Bacillati; Bacillota; Bacilli; Lactobacillales; Enterococcaceae.
UCUUUUUCCACCGGCAGCUAUGCUCCACCGGAAAAAGAAGAGUGGCGAACGGGUGAGUAACACGUGGGUAACCUGCCCAUCAGAAGGGGAUAACACUUGGAAACAGGUGCUAAUACCGUAUAACAAUCGAAACCGCAUGGUUUUGAUUUGAAAGGCGCUUUCGGGUGUCGCUGAUGGAUGGACCCGCGGUGCAUUAGCUAGUUGGUGAGGUAACGGCUCACCAAGGCCACGAUGCAUAGCCGACCUGAGAGGGUGAUCGGCCACAUUGGGACUGAGACACGGCCCAAACUCCUACGGGAGGCAGCAGUAGGGAAUCUUCGGCAAUGGACGAAAGUCUGACCGAGCAACGCCGCGUGAGUGAAGAAGGUUUUCGGAUCGUAAAACUCUGUUGUUAGAGAAGAACAAGGAUGAGAGUAACUGUUCAUCCCUUGACGGUAUCUAACCAGAAAGCCACGGCUAACUACGUGCCAGCAGCCGCGGUAAUACGUAGGUGGCAAGCGUUGUCCGGAUUUAUUGGGCGUAAAGCGAGCGCAGGCGGUUUCUUAAGUCUGAUGUGAAAGCCCCCGGCUCAACCGGGGAGGGUCAUUGGAAACUGGGAGACUUGAGUGCAGAAGAGGAGAGUGGAAUUCCAUGUGUAGCGGUGAAAUGCGUAGAUAUAUGGAGGAACACCAGUGGCGAAGGCGGCUCUCUGGUCUGUAACUGACGCUGAGGCUCGAAAGCGUGGGGAGCAAACAGGAUUAGAUACCCUGGUAGUCCACGCCGUAAACGAUGAGUGCUAAGUGUUGGAGGGUUUCCGCCCUUCAGUGCUGCAGCUAACGCAUUAAGCACUCCGCCUGGGG